CAGUCGCCGCGGUAAUACGAAGGGGGCUAGCGUUGCUCGGAAUCACUGGGCGUAAAGGGUGCGUAGGCGGGUCUUUAAGUCAGAGGUGAAAUCCUGGAGCUCAACUCCAGAACUGCCUUUGAUACUGAAGAUCUUGAGUUCGGGAGAGGUGAGUGGAACUGCGAGUGUAGAGGUGAAAUUCGUAGAUAUUCGCAAGAACACCAGUGGCGAAGGCGGCUCACUGGCCCGAUACUGACGCUGAGGCACGAAAGCGUGGGGAGCAAACAGGAUUAGAUACCCCAGUAGUCCCUGUCUCUUAUAC
RNAcentral lists this ribosomal RNA (301 nucleotides) under uncultured bacterium. Its description in RNAcentral is "partial 16S ribosomal RNA". It matches the Rfam family "Bacterial small subunit ribosomal RNA", at positions 509 to 807 of the family's 1533-position model. The record is from RNAcentral.